RNAcentral lists this ribosomal RNA (182 nucleotides) under uncultured Anaerolineaceae bacterium. Its description in RNAcentral is "partial 16S ribosomal RNA". It matches the Rfam family "Bacterial small subunit ribosomal RNA", at positions 1202 to 1382 of the family's 1533-position model. The record is from RNAcentral. Lineage: Bacteria; Bacillati; Chloroflexota; Anaerolineae; Anaerolineales; Anaerolineaceae.
UUAUAUCCAGGGCUACACACACGCUACAAUGGUCGGUACAAAGGGCAGCGAAGCCGCGAGGUGGAGCGAAUCCCAGCAAAGCCGACCGUAGUACGGAUAGCAGGCUGCAACUCGCCUGCUUGAAGCUGGAGUUGCUAGUAACCGCGCGUCAGCAUAGUGCGGUGAAUACGUUCCCGGGGCUU